Molecule: ribosomal RNA, 400 nt
Filed under: uncultured bacterium
Lineage: Bacteria
Description: bacterial SSU rRNA
Rfam family: Bacterial small subunit ribosomal RNA
Source: RNAcentral
AGAGUUUGAUCCUGGCUCAGGACGAACGCUGGCGGCGUGCCUAACACAUGCAAGUCGAGCGGAGGUGGUGGAAGGCGAAAGCCUAAAGCCACCUUAGCGGCGGACGGGUGAGUAACACGUAGGCAACCUACCCACCAUACGGGGAUAGCCCUGGGAAACCGGGGGUAAUACCCGAUACCUUUGCUGGCCGCUGGCUGGCAAAGAAAGCUGCCUUUUUAGGUGGCGGUGGUGGAUGGGCCUGCGGCCCAUCAGCUAGUUGGUGAGGUAACGGCUCACCAAGGCGACGACGGGUAGCCGGCCUGAGAGGGUGGACGGCCACACUGGGACUGGGACACGGCCCAGACUCCUACGGGAGGCAGCAGUGGGGAAUCUUGGGCAAUGGGGGAAACCCUGACCCAGC